Paramuricea clavata is the source of this 477-nucleotide non-coding RNA. The record is from the annotation of a GenBank genome assembly. Lineage: Eukaryota; Metazoa; Cnidaria; Anthozoa; Malacalcyonacea; Plexauridae.
ACCUUUGCCCUGACAUUGAUGGCAUUUUAGAGGUGUUGGAGGAUCACAGUUAUCUUUGUCACAACAGGACACCACACAAUCAGUUGCAUUUUUGAAACGUUUUCCCAACUCAAAUCUGUCUUUGAGGCAGUCGAUAUUCCCAACACAAAAUUCUUUCAUCACACACUGCUUCAUCACUUUCUGGACGCCAUUUUGCAUAAAUGUUGCUCUACCACACAACCCUCUUCCUUGAGGACACAUUACACUCUUACUUUCGUCGCCACAAUUUGUGCCAUUACCAAUACACUGUGUGCAAUUCAGUGCAGUGGAAACUGAAAAUGAUGGAAAAAAUAAGCACUGUAGAGAACGAGUAUUAAAAGUAAAUUGCAAAUAGUGCAUGAGUGUGCCAUAAUGACGCAAAAGCGGCAUUAUUUUUACUAAUUCGUUUUUUUUCGGCCAAACGUCGGCUAAUUUAAUAGGGAUGCAACUACCUGAACC